CGUACUUGUACUGAUUGAGAUUUUAACACGAAGUGAGUGGCGAACGGGUGAGUAACACGUGGGUAACCUGCCCAGAAGUAGGGGAUAACACCUGGAAACAGAUGCUAAUACCGUAUAACAGAGAAAACCGCAUGGUUUUCUUUUAAAAGAUGGCUCUGCUAUCACUUCUGGAUGGACCCGCGGCGUAUUAGCUAGUUGGUGAGGUAAAGGCUCACCAAGGCAGUGAUACGUAGCCGACCUGAGAGGGUAAUCGGCCACAUUGGGACUGAGACACGGCCCAGACUCCUACGGGAGGCAGCAGUAGGGAAUCUUCCACAAUGGACGCAAGUCUGAUGGAGCAACGCCGCGUGAGUGAAGAAGGGUUUCGGCUCGUAAAGCUCUGUUGUUAAAGAAGAACGUGGGUAAGAGUAACUGUUUACCCAGUGACGGUAUUUAACCAGAAAGCCACGGCUAACUACGUGCCAGCAGCCGCGGUAAUACGUAGGUGGCAAGCGUUAUCCGGAUUUAUUGGGCGUAAAGCGAGCGCAGGCGGUCUUUUAAGUCUAAUGUGAAAGCCUUC
Molecule: ribosomal RNA, 559 nt
Filed under: Pediococcus pentosaceus
Lineage: Bacteria; Bacillati; Bacillota; Bacilli; Lactobacillales; Lactobacillaceae
Description: bacterial SSU rRNA
Rfam family: Bacterial small subunit ribosomal RNA
Source: RNAcentral